GCCAGCCGGGAACCGGGGCAAAUCGGACCUCGCAACGCUGAUAGGAAGCAUCAAGCAUGGAAAGAUUUCCGCCGUAUCAGGACAGCCCUACAGGGAUUGCGCGGUUCCAAUUAAAGGAGACUGUGGACGUCGGAAGUGACAGUGCCGAAACAGCUUUGACAUGUGACUGGUUCAUGUGGCGCGUAGUAGAUACGCGGAAAAUAUUGGAAAGGAGACAGGCAUGUUUAUUAUGAAAUGAACCAAGCAGUGACAAGCGCGACGUGUACACGCUUACUGACACGUGGCUGAAAGAACUUUGUGCCGAUUGAUGGAGAUGUCACAAAGUCAAGUUCAAUACGUAAAUAGGGAAAGGAGAAGCCGCGACGAUAACGCCAGCGGCGUAAUGAAACCAUGGGGCGCCGAGACUGUAUCGAGUAUCCGAACAGGCUGCUUUGAUGUCUUUCCCUUGGAAAAAUCAACCACUAUGGCGGCAGCACGAGAUGAUUUGUUUCUAGUCAGUGUCUGAUUUGAUGGUAUCUCGUUGUGAUAAUUGGUGGCCAUCAUGUAUAGCCGGUCACCUGUGGGCAGAACACAAGAUAAUAAGUUGAAAUAAAUAAUAAGGAGAGCUAGGCUAAACAGAAAAACGUCACGGUACCAGCCGCAAUAACGACCUCAUUAACAGCGCAAUGGCUGGCAGCAGAAAAACUUCUCCCCAAGUAGAGCUAUCGGCUAAGCAAGAGUAAGAAAUAAAAGCGGAGGCAUGCGAAAUCUAUUGCGGCUGAUUUCCAGCCAUUGUUUCUUGAUGUACAGAGCACUGCAGAUUUCCCGUGUGAACGAAUCGUGUGAACAUCAGACAGAGACUUACAAGUUGUAAUAGUUUGUCGUGCGCCACCCCUUCAUCGCGCUUCGUGAUGCCGCUGAUGUUUAUCGCUAUGGGUAUACGCCCAAUGCUGAAUUAUCCUUAUCGAUAGCAUCAAACGUCUUUGCCUUCAAUAGCGAAAUGUAUUAAACUGAUACUGUCUCUUUACUAUAUUGAAUGACAGUAAUUAACUAUAGACGACAGAUCGAUACCUACCCAGACAGUGUGUUUUUAGACUUGAGCAGUGACGCUAUGGGUUUUAAUGUCCGAAACGUCAGAACCGUUUUGCUGAAAUAGAUACGACGAAAUCAUCUGUGAUAGCGCUGACUACAACGGAGAGAUGCAUUGCCUGCCGUCAGACACUCGUCAUAGUAUGGUACUUUUCUACCUGACAGAGCUGCCGCUUGUUCGCCGAUCAUGAUCUCAUGAAAAAGAUCGUUCGGCUAAGAUUCGCGCACGGAAGCUUUUACUCUUCCGCCAACAGGGAACAGAAGAAGCGGCCAGAGUUCUUGUCUGUCUAAUAAUGCUUGGCCAUCGGUACGGAGAGUAGGGAGGAUCCUAUUGUCACAGCACACUAUAGGCGCACUUGGGUGUACAAUAGUGUUCCUCACAGCGGUGCUCCUCAUUUAGUGCCAUUAUCUACGAUGAGCGAACGAAAGUUGACCUGAUUAUGAUAUCAUUGAACUGAACGUCAGUCACAACCUAUUCCAGUCUGAAUAACUAUUUAAGGUCUUGUCUUACGAUACACACAUACAAAAAUGGAUAUCUGA
Molecule: long non-coding RNA, 1608 nt
Organism: Varroa destructor (honeybee mite)
Lineage: Eukaryota; Metazoa; Arthropoda; Arachnida; Mesostigmata; Varroidae
Source: RefSeq, a predicted model, not a curated record